This 75-nucleotide transfer RNA is filed under the name Faecalibacterium sp. CAG:1138. RNAcentral describes it as "transfer RNA-Trp(CCA)". It matches the Rfam family "tRNA". From Rfam's summary of the family: Transfer RNA (tRNA) molecules are approximately 80 nucleotides in length. Their secondary structure includes four short double-helical elements and three loops (D, anti-codon, and T loops). The record is from RNAcentral. RNAcentral also lists the same sequence under 6 other names. Lineage: Bacteria; Bacillati; Bacillota; Clostridia; Eubacteriales; Oscillospiraceae.
AGGGGAGUGGCUCAAUGGUAGAGCAACGGUCUCCAAAACCGUCGGUUGCGUGUUCGACUCGCGUCUCCCCUGCCA